RNAcentral lists this non-coding RNA (24 nucleotides) under Arabidopsis thaliana (thale cress). Lineage: Eukaryota; Viridiplantae; Streptophyta; Magnoliopsida; Brassicales; Brassicaceae. The record is from RNAcentral.
AUUCGACACCAAAACACUAACCAA